Sorghum bicolor (sorghum) is the source of this 2515-nucleotide RNA transcript. It is a transcript of the gene named DNA polymerase zeta processivity subunit, with no coding region annotated. The record is from RefSeq and is a predicted model, not a curated record. The transcript has 4 exons. Lineage: Eukaryota; Viridiplantae; Streptophyta; Magnoliopsida; Poales; Poaceae.
UAUUUUCCUGGCAGACCCAACCACCCAUCUCCCGACCGGCCGACCCCAAUCCGCAUGGAGGCAUAGGGCCGGCCGGCCGCUGCGCACGCAAGCCGCCGCCCGCCGCCAGAAAGCGCCCGAGCCGGCGCGCCAGCCCUCAACCGCCCGAGCGAGCAGGAGCGGCCCGAACGACGGCCAGGUGGAGCGGAGUUGGGAGCGGCCUGUGGCCUGUGGGAGUGCGGGCGAGCAGCGAGCCGGCGAUGGAGUGAAGAGGAGGAGCAGCGCAAGGUACAGCAACCCAGAGCUAGGGCUAACUGCUGCCACGGAUAGGUCAACGGUAGAGAGGGGUAGCAGCUCCUCAGCAACUGGAUUUGGUCAAGGCCAAGGUGCAAGCAGUGAAGCAGAGCCAAAGGUGACAGUUUCCCAUAUCCUCCAAGCACUUGCCUGCAGUGACAGAUCACUUGUCAACUCCAUUGGAUUUAAUGGGUGCACCAUCACAAAUAUUUGUUGGGAAGUCAAAACCCUUCUCCACUGCCAAAACCUUGUGCCCUGAACACAAAUAUAUCCUUUCAAUUCCAAUCCCACGACUCUCCCAUUGCCAUAUUCCCCUCCUCCUCUCUCAAUCAAUUGUUUCAGGUCUUCUCCUCAAGCUCCCCCUUGUCCACUCUGUCCUCCGAUCUCUCUCCUUGGGGCCUUUCCCAUCUCUAUCCCUCUCCUUCCUCUCCCUGCUCCGCCACUCUGGAUAUGUGACCCUCGAUAACUAUUCCCUCAACAUUGCUUUCUCUGCCACUUCCCGCCUCCCAUCUGUUUCUGUUGGUGCCCAGCUUCAUUCCCUUUCUGUCAAACUUGGCUUGGUUUCAGAUACAUUUGUCCUUAAUUCUCUUAUCAACAUGUACUCAUCUUGUAGCUAUCCAGCUACUGCAAGACAAGUUCUCGAUUCUGCUCCUCAAGGAGCUUGUGACACAGUUUCUUGGAACACCAUAAUUUCUGGAUACCUACGAGGUGGGAUGCCUAAUAAAGCUUUGCAGGCUUUUGGCCAGAUGGUCAAGGAGCAAGUUACUCUGGAUGAUGUCACAUUGCUGAAUGCACUUGUUGCUUCUGCCAAGGCAGGCAAAGUGAAGGUAGGGAGGCUGUGUCACAGUUUAGUUGUGGUGAACGGGGCUGGAAUUAAUUGUUAUAUGGGUUCCUCUCUGAUUAGUAUGUAUGCCAAGUGUGGAUUGGUUGAGGAUGCCCGCAAGGUAUUUCAUGGAAUGCAUGAGAGAAACGUGGUUUGCUGGACAUCAAUGAUUUCUGGGUACACACAGUUGGGUAAGUUUAAAGAGGCUGUCAACCUUUUUAGGGACAUGCAAAUUACUGGAAUGAAGGUUGAUGAUGGGACAAUUGCUACUGUUGUGUCUUCAUGUGCCCAAAUGGGAGCACUUGACUUGGGACGAUAUGUUCAUGCCUACUGUGAUGUUCAUGGUUUAGGGAAGGAGCUUUCUGUGAAGAAUUCACUGAUUGAUAUGUACUCAAAGUGUGGGGAUAUAAACAAGGCUCAUGAGAUAUUCUGUGGAUUGACCAAGCGAGAUGUGUUUUCUUGGACGGCAAUGAUAAUGGGCUUUACUGUUAAUGGCCUCUGUAGUGAAGCACUAGAUUUGUUUGCUCAGAUGGAAGGAGAGGGUAAGGUUAUGCCAAAUGAGGUCACUUUUUUGGGUGUCCUUACUUCUUGUAGCCAUGGAGGGUUAGUGGAACAAGGGUUCCAUUACUUUCAGCGUAUGUCCAUGGUCUACAAGCUUGCACCGAGGAUUGAACACUAUGGAUGCAUGGUUGAUCUCUUGGGCCGUGCAAAGCUAUUGACAGAGGCAGAACAAUUUAUUAAAAAUAUGCCUAUUGCCCCAGAUGUAGUAGUAUGGCGGUCUUUGUUGUUUGCCUGCAGAGCUUGUGGAGAGGUGGGACUUGCAGAAUUUGUAGCAGAAAGGAUCCUAGAAUUGGAGCCAAAAAAGUGUGCAGGACAUGUUUUACUUUCUAAUGUCUAUGCUACCACAUCAAGGUGGGUUGAUGUGAAUGAGUUGCGGACAUCUAUGGACAAUAGUAGGAUGAGUAAGCAACCUGGUUGCUCUUUCAUUGAAGUGGAUGGAUGUGUGCAUGAGUUCUUUGCAGGAGAUGAAUCACACCUUGAGACAGAAGCUAUAUAUAACAUUCUUUUGGGGAUCAGUGAGCUAUUAGUAGCAGAGUCCUUACUCAUAUGAAAGAUUGGAACUUUACAACCAUCUGGUGGUGUGUGGCCACUGGCUUGUUGGGCUAUGCUAAUCAUUGGAAUAUAAACAAGCAGGAGGUCUGAUUAACAGAAGUUUUUUAAUUGUUCCCAAAUUGGAGGAUUCACCUGAAGGGAGUUAUGGAUCGGAAGAAUCAAACUCCUCAAGGGAUUGGUAGAGAGGGUUGUGGUCAUCUUCUAUGACAAAGAGCAUGUACCAAUUGAGAAGUUUGUCUUCAAGCUUGCAGUCAACCAAUCAUAUUGUUCCAAGUUAGAGGAGGCAAACCUGGAGUUUGCUCUGCG